This 441-nucleotide ribosomal RNA is filed under the name uncultured bacterium. RNAcentral's name for it is "partial 16S ribosomal RNA". It matches the Rfam family "Bacterial small subunit ribosomal RNA", at positions 338 to 795 of the family's 1533-position model. The record is from RNAcentral.
CCUACGGGGGGCAGCAGUGGGGGAUAUUGCACAAUGGGGGAAACCCUGAUGCAGCGACGCCGCGUGGGUGAAGAAGUAUUUCGGUAUGUAAAGCCAUAUCAGCAGGGAAGAAAGAAGACGGUACCAGACGAAGAAGCCCCGGCUAACUACGUGCCAGCAGCCGCGGUAAUACGGAGGGGGCGAGCGUUAUCCGGAUUCACUGGGUGUAAAGGGAGCGUAGAAGGCCGUGCAAGCCAGGAGUGCAAGCCCGGGGCCCAACCCCGGGACUGCUCUUGGAACUGUGCGGCUAGAGUGCGGGAGGGGCAGGCGGACUUCCUGGUGUAGCGGUGACAUGCGUAGAUAUCCGGAGGACCACCGGCGGCGACGGCGGCCUGCUGGACCGCGCCUGACGUUGAGGCUCGACAGCGUGGGGAGCGAACAGGAUUCGCUACCCCUGUAGUC